RNAcentral lists this ribosomal RNA (274 nucleotides) under uncultured bacterium. RNAcentral describes it as "partial 16S ribosomal RNA". It matches the Rfam family "Bacterial small subunit ribosomal RNA", at positions 523 to 796 of the family's 1533-position model. The record is from RNAcentral.
AUACGGAGGGUGCAAGCGUUAUCCGGAAUCAUUGGGUUUAAAGGGUCCGCAGGCGGACUGAUAAGUCAGUGGUGAAAUCCCGUAGCUUAACUACGGAACUGCCAUUGAAACUGUCAGUCUUGAAUUCGGUCGAAGUGGGCGGAAUGUGUCAUGUAGCGGUGAAAUGCAUAGAUAUGUCACAGAACACCGAUAGCGAAGGCAGCUCACUAGGCCUGAAUUGACGCUCAGGGACGAAAGCGUGGGGAGCGAACAGGAUUAGAAACCCUAGUAGUCC